UACGUAGGGUGCGAGCGUUAAUCGGAAUUACUGGGCGUAAAGCGUGCGCAGGCGGUUUUGUAAGCCAGAUGUGAAAGCCCCGGGCUCAACCUGGGAAUGGCAUUUGGGACUGCAAGGCUUGAGUGCGGCAGAGGAGACUGGAAUUCCUGGUGUAGCAGUGAAAUGCGUAGAUAUCAGGAGGAAUACCGAUGGCGAAGGCAGGUCUCUGGGCUGACACUUACGCUCAUGCACGAAAGCGUGGGGAGCAAACAGG
Molecule: ribosomal RNA, 253 nt
Filed under: uncultured bacterium
Lineage: Bacteria
Description: partial 16S ribosomal RNA
Rfam family: Bacterial small subunit ribosomal RNA
Source: RNAcentral